GGGGGUAGGCACGUGAAUAAAGGGGAAAGGGGUUGUUUUUUUUAUGUAUCAGAUUGGGGAAAUUUAGGGAAAUUAGGGUAGAGAGGUGGUUCUCUCCUCCAUUUGAGCCACCACCUCUCUUGGUGAUGGGGAAGCUGCUGGAUGAUGGGACGACGAAGAUGGCAGAAGGAGCGGCGUCCCUUGCGGUGGUGGUCACGACUUUAUGAUAUCGAAUCC
This 216-nucleotide long non-coding RNA is filed under the name Lupinus angustifolius (narrow-leaved blue lupine). RNAcentral's name for it is "long non-coding RNA (LANG_LNC002661)". The record is from RNAcentral. Lineage: Eukaryota; Viridiplantae; Streptophyta; Magnoliopsida; Fabales; Fabaceae.